GUGCCAGCCGCCGCGGUAAUACGUAGGUGGCGAGCGUUGUCCGGAUUUAUUGGGUUUAAAGGGUGCGUAGGCGGCCAAGUAAGUCAGUGCUGAAAUAUCCCGGCUUAACUGGGAGGGUGGCAUUGAUACUGCGUGGCUAGAGUACAGAUGAGGUAGGCGGAAUUGACGGUGUAGCGGUGAAAUGCUUAGAUAUCGUCAAGAACACCUAUAGCGAAGGCAGCUUACUAGGCUGUAACUGACGCUGAGGCACGAAAGUGUGGGGAUCAAACAGGAUUAGAUACCCUUGUAGUCC
RNAcentral lists this ribosomal RNA (292 nucleotides) under uncultured bacterium. Its description in RNAcentral is "partial 16S ribosomal RNA". It matches the Rfam family "Bacterial small subunit ribosomal RNA", at positions 505 to 796 of the family's 1533-position model. The record is from RNAcentral.